ACUGAAAUAGCUCAAAAAGAGUAUUGCUUUGAAGCAGCAAAGGUGGUUAGUUUAUACCUUUUAGUA
Molecule: transfer RNA, 66 nt
Filed under: Paralepas cf. quadrata
Lineage: Eukaryota; Metazoa; Arthropoda; Thecostraca; Heteralepadidae
Description: tRNA-Phe
Source: RNAcentral